This 539-nucleotide unclassified non-coding RNA is filed under the name Hevea brasiliensis (rubber tree). The record is from RNAcentral. Lineage: Eukaryota; Viridiplantae; Streptophyta; Magnoliopsida; Malpighiales; Euphorbiaceae.
CAGAGUUUUCUUGCUUCACAUCCAAAACAGCACAGGCACUUGAAGCUUGAUGAUGUAACAUUUGCUCCUCCCAAUUUUCCAACUUCUUAGCCUGAAAAUAUCUCAUAUUUCCCUUAUUAUCUUCAUCCACCAAUCCACCCCUAAAAAAAAUACAUCAAGAGCCCCAGCAAAUUUCAAUAGUCUGCAUUAAAACCUCAAUACAUAGAAAGUUUUAAAGAUCUAUAUAUGCAGAGAGAGGAAGGAAAAGUGCAUGUAUGAAAUGAAACAUGUUUAGGAGACAAGUAUUAUGAAUACGAGUAAAUUAAGUGUCUAUGAGGAUAAAGGUGGAAUUCUGUAUAAAAACAACCACAACUAUGCCUUAAUCCCUAGCUAGUUAGCUCUGCUAUAUAAAUUUUUUUUGGCCGUUCAAAAAGAAAGAAAGAAAGAAAAACUCCACAUGCGCCCAAGAGGGAGAACUAGAAAGGAAAGAGAUUUACAUAAGGAGUUGGCUCCAUGAUUCUGGAAGUUGAUCUUGAUUAUCAUGCCAAGAAGGAAUAGUA